This 351-nucleotide ribosomal RNA is filed under the name uncultured bacterium. RNAcentral's name for it is "bacterial SSU rRNA". It matches the Rfam family "Bacterial small subunit ribosomal RNA", at positions 222 to 566 of the family's 1533-position model. The record is from RNAcentral.
AAGAUGAGCAUGCGCUCCCAUUAUGCUAUGUUGGUAAGGUAACGGCUUACCGAGGCUACGAUGGGGAGGGGUCCUGAGAGGGAGAUCCCCCACACUGGUACUGAGACGCGGACCAGACUCCUACGGGAGGCAGCAGUGAAGGAAUAUUGGACAAUGGGCGCAAGCCUGAUCCAGCCAUGCCGCGUGCAGGAUGACGGUCCUAUGGAUUGCAAACUGCUUUUGUACAGGAAGAAACAGUUCUACGUGUAGAACCUUGACGGUACUGUAAGAAUAAGGAUCGGCUAACUCCGUGCCAGCAGCCGCGGUAAUACAGAGGAUCCAAGCGUUAUCCCGAAUCAUUGGGUUAAAAGG